Long non-coding RNA from Pezoporus flaviventris, 202 nucleotides. RefSeq lists it as uncharacterized. NCBI's taxonomy places the organism in Eukaryota, Metazoa, Chordata, Aves, Psittaciformes, Psittacidae. The record is from RefSeq and is a predicted model, not a curated record. The transcript is spliced from 3 exons.
UCCUGGUUCCUGAGGCUUGGACAGCUCCAGGAGGGUUUGUGGAUGGGCCUUGGUGAUGCCCCAUGAGAUGAGACCACCAUGAGUACCCCUACUGUGGUCCCCAUGGUGCCCAUAGGCUCAUAGAUGGUCCAUGGAGCAUCCCAUGGAUGGUCCCUUUGGAUCAUCUCAUAGAUGGCCCCUUUGGGUAUCUCAUGCAUGGUCC